This 30-nucleotide non-coding RNA is filed under the name Drosophila melanogaster (fruit fly). RNAcentral also lists the same sequence under 6 other names. The record is from RNAcentral. Lineage: Eukaryota; Metazoa; Arthropoda; Insecta; Diptera; Drosophilidae.
CCUCCUGGGAAGUCCUCGUGUUGCACCCCU